This 507-nucleotide ribosomal RNA is filed under the name uncultured bacterium. RNAcentral describes it as "bacterial SSU rRNA". It matches the Rfam family "Bacterial small subunit ribosomal RNA", at positions 975 to 1482 of the family's 1533-position model. The record is from RNAcentral.
CAGGUCUUGACAUCCUCUGAAAACCCUAGAGAUAGGGCUUCUCCUUCGGGAGCAGAGUGACAGGUGGUGCAUGGUUGUCGUCAGCUCGUGUCGUGAGAUGUUGGGUUAAGUCCCGCAACGAGCGCAACCCUUGAUCUUAGUUGCCAUCAUUAAGUUGGGCACUCUAAGGUGACUGCCGGUGACAAACCGGAGGAAGGUGGGGAUGACGUCAAAUCAUCAUGCCCCUUAUGACCUGGGCUACACACGUGCUACAAUGGACGGUACAAAGAGCUGCAAGACCGCGAGGUGGAGCUAAUCUCAUAAAACCGUUCUCAGUUCGGAUUGUAGGCUGCAACUCGCCUACAUGAAGCUGGAAUCGCUAGUAAUCGCGGAUCAGCAUGCCGCGGUGAAUACGUUCCCGGGCCUUGUACACACCGCCCGUCACACCACGAGAGUUUGUAACACCCGAAGUCGGUGGGGUAACCUUUUUGGAGCCAGCCGCCUAAGGUGGGACGGAUGAUUGGGGUG